RNAcentral lists this unclassified non-coding RNA (320 nucleotides) under Hevea brasiliensis (rubber tree). Lineage: Eukaryota; Viridiplantae; Streptophyta; Magnoliopsida; Malpighiales; Euphorbiaceae. The record is from RNAcentral.
UGAAUUUUCUCCGAUAUCUUAUCCAUCAACGACUCCCCCACCGAUUCCUCCUUCUGAUGGUCCGCCAUCUCCUCAGAGCACAAAAGCCAAACCCUAAAAACCCUAACACAGUGUUCGAAGCGGAAAAUGAGCUAAACUUCUAGCGAAUCUCCUUUCUUUCUUUGGCUAUGACACACUCUUCUUUCCGUACAUCCCUGGCCCAAGCAAAUUAAGGGGCGGUUUCGUAGCAGAGUGAAUCGUGACCGUUGAGAUCACAAAAUCGAUCUUGGACGUUGAUAGGUUCGGUAGUCGAAGCUAUAGGCUUGGAUCCGUAAUUGUCC